AGAGUUUGAUCCUGGCUCAGAACGAACGCUGGCGGCGUGCUUAACACAUGCAAGUCGAACGCGAAAGUUUUCUUCGGAAGACGAGUAGAGUGGCGCACGGGUGAGUAACGCGUAAGUUAUCUACCUCGGCAUCUGGAAUAACUCACCGAAAGGUGUGCUAAUACCGGAUGAAGUUANNNNNNNNNNNNNNNNNNNNNNNNAAAAGGUGGCCUCUGAAUAUGCUUCUGUCAUCAGAUGAGUCUGCGUACCAUUAGCUAGUAGGUGGGGUAAUGGCCUACCUAGGCUACGAUGGUUAGCGGGUCUGAGAGGAUGAUCCGCCACACUGGAACUGAAACACGGACCAGACUCCUACGGGAGGCAGCAGUGAGGAAUAUUGCGCAAUGGGGGCAACCCUGACGCAGCGACGCCGCGUGGAUGAUGAAGGCCUUCGGGUCGUAAAAUCCUGUCAAGUGGAAAGAAACGUCAUCGAGCUAAUACCUGCCACAAAUGACGGUACCACUAAAGGAAGCACCGGCUAACUCCGUGCCAGCAGCCGCGGUAAUACGGAGGGUGCAAGCGUUGUUCGGAAUUACUGGGCGUAAAGGGCGCGUAGGCGGCGCUGUAAGUCAGAUGUGAAAGUCCACGGCUUAACCGUGGAAGUGCAUCUGAUACUGCAGCGCUUGAGUAUCGGAGGGGAAAGUAGAAUUCCCGGUGUAGAGGUGAAAUUCGUAGAUAUCGGGAGGAAUACCGGUGGCGAAGGCGACUUUCUGGACGAAUACUGACGCUGAUGCGCGAAAGCGUGGGGAGCAAACAGGAUUAGAUACCCUGGUAGUCCACAGCUGUAAACGAUGUACACUAGAUGUAGGGGGUGUUGACCCCUCCUGUGUCGCAGCUAACGCAUUAAGUGUACCGCCUGGGGAGUACGGUCGCAAGAUUAAAACUCAAAGGAAUUGACGGGGGCCCGCACAAGCGGUGGAGUAUGUGGUUUAAUUCGACGCAACGCGAAGAACCUUACCUGGUCUUGACAUCCCGGGAAUCUUUUGGAAAAACGAGAGAGUGCCUCGUAAGAGGAGCCCGGUGACAGGUGGUGCAUGGUUGUCGUCAGCUCGUGUCGUGAGAUGUUGGGUUAAGUCCCGCAACGAGCGCAACCCCUACAGCUAGUUGCCAGCACAUAGGUGGGAACUCUAGCAGAACUGCCGUUGACAAAACGGAGGAAGGUGGGGAUGACGUCAAAUCAUCAUGCCCCUUAUGUCUUGGGCUACACACGUACUACAAUGGCCUGAACAGAGGGAAGCGAAACUGCGAAGUUAAGCGAACCCCUUAAAACAGGUCCCAGUUCGGAUUGUAGGCUGCAACUCGCCUACAUGAAGUUGGAAUCGCUAGUAAUCGCAGGUCAGCAUACUGCGGUGAAUACGUUCCCGGGCCUUGUACACACCGCCCGUCACACCACGGGAGUUGGUUGUACCAGAAGCAGUUGAGCCAACCGUUUACGGAGGCAGGCUGCCAAGGUAUGGCGAGUAACUGGGGUGAAGUCGUAACAAGGUAACC
This 1527-nucleotide ribosomal RNA is filed under the name uncultured bacterium. RNAcentral's name for it is "bacterial SSU rRNA". It matches the Rfam family "Bacterial small subunit ribosomal RNA". The record is from RNAcentral.